GGGGAUACAGCUCAGUGGUAGAGCACACGCUUGGAGUGCACGAGGUUCUGGGUUCAAUCCCCAGUUCCUCCU
This 72-nucleotide transfer RNA is filed under the name Camelus ferus (Wild Bactrian camel). It matches the Rfam family "tRNA". Rfam says of the family: Transfer RNA (tRNA) molecules are approximately 80 nucleotides in length. The record is from Rfam by way of RNAcentral. Lineage: Eukaryota; Metazoa; Chordata; Mammalia; Artiodactyla; Camelidae.